CCUACGGGUGGCAGCAGUGGGGAAUAUUGCACAAUGGGGGAAACCCUGAUGCAGCGACGCCGCGUGAGUGAAGAAGUAUUUCGGUACGUAAAGCUCUAUCAGCAGGGAAGAAAAUGACGGUACCUGACUAAGAAGCCCCGGCUAACUACGUGCCAGCAGCCGCGGUAAUACGUAGGGGGCAAGCGUUAUCCGGAUUUACUGGGUGUAAAGGGAGCGUAGACGGCAGCGCAAGUCUGGAGUGAAAUCCCAUGGCUUAACCAUGGAACUGCUUUGGAAACUGUGCAGCUAGAGUGCAGGAGAGGGAAGCGGAAUUCCUAGGGUAGCGGUGAAAUACGUAGAUAGUAGGAGGAACACCAGUGGCGAAGGCGGCUUACUGGACUGUAACUGACGUUGAGGCUCGAAAGCGUGGGGAGCAAACAGGAUUAGAUACCCUAGUAGUC
RNAcentral lists this ribosomal RNA (440 nucleotides) under uncultured bacterium. RNAcentral's name for it is "partial 16S ribosomal RNA". It matches the Rfam family "Bacterial small subunit ribosomal RNA", at positions 338 to 795 of the family's 1533-position model. The record is from RNAcentral.